Molecule: ribosomal RNA, 402 nt
Filed under: uncultured Eubacteriales bacterium
Lineage: Bacteria; Bacillati; Bacillota; Clostridia; Eubacteriales
Description: bacterial SSU rRNA
Rfam family: Bacterial small subunit ribosomal RNA
Source: RNAcentral
AAGUCUGAUGGAGCAACGCCGCGUGAGUGAUGAAGGUUUUCGGAUCGUAAAACUCUGUUGUAAGGGAAGAACCAGUACGUCAGGCAAUGGACGUACCUUGACGGUACCUUAUUAGAAAGCCACGGCUAACUACGUGCCAGCAGCCGCGGUAAUACGUAGGGGGCGAGCGUUAUCCGGAAUCACUGGGCGUAAAGGGUGCGUAGGCGGUUUCUUAAGUCAGAGGUGAAAGGCUACGGCUCAACCGUAGUAAGCCUUUGAAACUGGGGAACUUGAGUGCAGGAGAGGAGAGUGGAAUUCCUAGUGUAGCGGUGAAAUGCGUAGAUAUUAGGAGGAACACCAGUGGCGAAGGCGACUCUCUGGACUGCAACUGACGCUGAGGCACGAAAGCGUGGGGAGCGAACA